GAGGUUGUGGCUCAGUGGUAGAGCGCUUGCCUUGCAUGUGUGGGGCACUGUGUUUGAUCCUCAGCACCACA
RNAcentral lists this transfer RNA (71 nucleotides) under Marmota monax (woodchuck). RNAcentral's name for it is "tRNA.Ala". Lineage: Eukaryota; Metazoa; Chordata; Mammalia; Rodentia; Sciuridae. The record is from RNAcentral.